Molecule: ribosomal RNA, 495 nt
Filed under: uncultured bacterium
Lineage: Bacteria
Description: partial 16S ribosomal RNA
Rfam family: Bacterial small subunit ribosomal RNA
Source: RNAcentral
AUGAACGCUGGCGGCGUGCCUAAUACAUGCAAGUCGAGCGAACAGACGAGGAGCUUGCUCCUCUGACGUUAGCGGCGGACGGGUGAGUAACACGUGGAUAACCUACCUAUAAGACUGGGAUAACUUCGGGAAACCGGAGCUAAUACCGGAUAAUAUAUUGAACCGCAUGGUUCAAUAGUGAAAGACGGUUUUGCUGUCACUUAUAGAUGGAUCCGCGCCGCAUUAGCUAGUUGGUAAGGUAACGGCUUACCAAGGCAACGAUGCGUAGCCGACCUGAGAGGGUGAUCGGCCACACUGGAACUGAGACACGGUCCAGACUCCUACGGGAGGCAGCAGUAGGGAAUCUUCCGCAAUGGGCGAAAGCCUGACGGAGCAACGCCGCGUGAGUGAUGAAGGUCUUCGGAUCGUAAAACUCUGUUAUUAGGGAAGAACAAAUGUGUAAGUAACGAUGCACGUCUGGACGGUACCUAAGCAGAAAGCCACGGCUAACUACGU